This 498-nucleotide ribosomal RNA is filed under the name uncultured bacterium. RNAcentral describes it as "partial 16S ribosomal RNA". It matches the Rfam family "Bacterial small subunit ribosomal RNA", at positions 30 to 523 of the family's 1533-position model. The record is from RNAcentral.
AUUGAACGCUGGCGGCAUGCCUUACACAUGCAAGUCGAACGGUAACAGGUCUUCGGAUGCUGACGAGUGGCGAACGGGUGAGUAAUACGUCGGAACGUGCCUAGUAAUGGGGGAUAACUACUCGAAAGAGUGGCUAAUACCGCAUGAGAUCUACGGAUGAAAGCAGGGGAUCGCAAGACCUUGUGCUACUAGAGCGGCCGAUGGCAGAUUAGGAAGUUGGUGGGAUAAAAGCUUACCAAGCCGACGAUCUGUAGCUGGUCUGAGAGGACGAUCAGCCACACUGGGACUAGGACACGGCCCAGACUCCUACGGGAGGCAGCAGUGGGGAAUUUUGGAUAAUGGGCGCAAGCCUGAUCCAGGAAUGCCGCGUGCAGGAUGAAGGCCUUCGGGUUGUAAACUGCUUUUGUACGGAACGAAAAGCCCCGGGUUAAUACCCUGGGGUCAUGACGGUACCGUAAGAAUAAGCACCGGCUAACUACGUGCCAGCCGCCGCAGUAA